This 91-nucleotide non-coding RNA is filed under the name chicken gut metagenome. RNAcentral describes it as "TPP riboswitch (THI element)". It matches the Rfam family "TPP riboswitch aptamer (THI element)", at positions 7 to 92 of the family's 105-position model. From Rfam's summary of the family: Vitamin B(1) in its active form thiamin pyrophosphate (TPP) is an essential coenzyme that is synthesised by coupling of pyrimidine and thiazole moieties in bacteria. The previously detected thiamin-regulatory element, thi box was extended, resulting in a new, highly conserved RNA secondary structure, the THI element, which is widely distributed in eubacteria and also occurs in some archaea. Analysis of operon structures identified a large number of new candidate thiamin-regulated genes, mostly transporters, in various prokaryotic organisms. The record is from RNAcentral.
AACUGCUGGGGGUGCCAAAUUGGCUGAGAGAGCAUAAAAAUUGCUUAACCCUUUGAACUUGAUGUGGGUAAUACCAACGGAGGGAAGCAAU